Molecule: transfer-messenger RNA, 362 nt
Filed under: Siculibacillus sp.
Lineage: Bacteria; Pseudomonadati; Pseudomonadota; Alphaproteobacteria; Hyphomicrobiales; Ancalomicrobiaceae
Rfam family: Alphaproteobacteria transfer-messenger RNA
About the family: Bacterial tmRNA, also known as 10Sa RNA or SsrA, is named for its dual tRNA and mRNA-like properties. Its role is to liberate the mRNA from a stalled ribosome.
Source: RNAcentral
GGGCUUUUCCCCGGCCCUCCCCUCACCUAUAUUGGCGGUGUCGACCCGCGAGGGGCGACUAUGGUGAUAAACGAGCGGUGGAAUAAGCCUUUCGGACCCGGGGGCAGUACCCGGCGCCUCCACCCGAGCCCACGGGUCGCACGUGGGUUCCGGCGGGGGCGAACCAGGAUCGACGAGGGUCUAAAGACCGAUCUUUUGCCCGGCAUGAUACCGCCGUCAUCGGGUCAAAUUAUAGUUGCCAACGACAACUAUGCUCCGGUUGCCGUGGCCGCGUGAGCGGUUUACGGACUCCGGUAACAAGUCCUGACGUGUAGCAGCGUCCAGGCGGGGUUCGGGGGCACCUGGCAACAGAAGCCCUCACU